CCUACGGGUGGCAGCAGUGGGGAAUAUUGGGCAAUGGGCGCAAGCCUGACCCAGCAACGCCGCGUGAAGGAAGAAGGCUUUCGGGUUGUAAACUUCUUUUCUCAGGGACGAAGCAAGUGACGGUACCUGAGGAAUAAGCCACGGCUAACUACGUGCGAGCAGCCGCGGUACUACGUAGGUGGCAAGCGUUAUCCGGAUUUACUGGGUGUAAGGGGCGUGUAGGCGGGACUGCAAGUCAGAUGGGAAAACUACGGGCUCAACCUGUGGCCUGCAUUUGAAACUGUAGUUCGUGAGUACUGGAGAGGCAGACGGAAUUCCUAGUGUAGCGGUGAAAUGCGUAGAUAUUAGGAGGAACACCAGUGGCGAGGGCGGUCUGCUGGACAGCAACUGACGCUGAGGCGCGAAAGCGUGGGGAGCAAACAGGAUUAGAUACCCUUGUAGUC
This 443-nucleotide ribosomal RNA is filed under the name uncultured bacterium. Its description in RNAcentral is "partial 16S ribosomal RNA". It matches the Rfam family "Bacterial small subunit ribosomal RNA", at positions 338 to 795 of the family's 1533-position model. The record is from RNAcentral.